CACAGGAGAGAGUAUACAGGUAAAAUUAUUAUUUUUUUGUUUACUAACAUUUGAUUCACUAGUGAAUCAUGAUUAUUUGAAAUUUGAACAAAAAUACAGACUACAGUCGUACAGAGUUGUAUUCAAACAUUUUAGUAAAAAAUUACCAUGCAUAAGUGUAUUCUUUUUAGUAUAACAUCCAAACUAUCUCAUUGUCCAAUUGCCUUCAUUUUCAUUUUUAGUUGUACUGAUUAUAUUUCUUAAUAAUAUGGGUCUAAUAUAGUCUAAUUUGCUAAUUUUUUCAAAAAUAUAGUUUCCAAAAAUGGAAAUAGAAGGAAAUAAAAUCUUCGAACUAAACGAUUACAAAUUUUCUAUCUGGAGCAGAAUAUGCGGUAAUCAUUUUACAAUCAGUGAUUAUAAACAAGGCACAGUAAAUAGUUGAUAUUAUGGUCAGAGGCUGUCACAAAACAUAAUCCAAACCACAUGUCUGGGAUAGAGAAUUUCAAUAAUUUACAGCAACACUGCUACUACUCUGAAAUAUUGUGUAUCUCCAACGAUGAGGUUGAAGAAAAUGAACAGACAAAUAAAGGAUUUCGAGGCCUUACAACCUGAUGAUUUUAAUUCAUCCAGAAAAGCCUUAGACGCUUAAUAAUGUCUAUACACACUUAUAGUUUACACACAUAUUUUGCCUGUGUCUUAUUCUAAACAAUUGGAUCACAAGCAACCUCAAGCUGUUAUCACAUAUAUCUUUGGUGAAAUCGUAACUAUUGUAAAGAUUUUUUGAUUAAUGCUUCACCUGUCAGAAUGAUUGGCAUGAACAUGAGCUCUAUUAAGCUUUUGUUGUCUCCAGAAAUGAACAAUGUUGGCGAGGAUGGAGCGUGAUGUUGCCGGUCGUUAGCUGACAAACAAUUGCACAAAUGCUCGAGACGUACAUGAUGGCCAGAAUAUUGUAUAUCUCCAACGACGAGGUUGAAGAACAUGAACAGACGAAUAAAGGAUUUGGAGACGUUAUAGUUGAUGAAUUUAAUUUACCCAGAAAAUCCUUAGAAACUUAAUAAUGUCUUAUUCACAUACACUUAUUUCAUAUAAUGGAUAAUACUUAUAUUUUCAAAACUGAAAUAUAUGAUGUACCUCAUACAAGUAGCUAGGAAGUCGAUCAAAUAUGCUGACAAUUUUUCAGACACUGACUUUUAUGAAGAUAAUUCUACCGACUUAGAUGAAGCCAUACAAUAUUGGAGCGAAUUAUGAAACUUAAGGAAAAUUGUGUUUCUUCAACGAUGAGUUAGAAGAAAAUGAACAGACGAAUAAAGGAUAUGGAGACCUUACAGUUGAUGAUUCAACCAGAAAAUCCUUAGAAACCUAAUAAUGUCUAAUUCACAUACACUUAGAUUUCCAAAUAACGAAAAUAGAAGGAAAUAAUGGCGGUAAUCACUUCUACAGCAACACUGGUAGUACUGCUCUGAGCACGACUAGUAAAUCUUAUCUAAGAAAAUAUUGUGUUUUUCCGACGAUGAGUUAGAAGAAAAUGAACAGACGAAUAAAGGAUAUGGAGACCUUACAGUUGAAAAUUUUUUCAUGCACCCAGAAAAGCCUUAGAUAAUGUCUAAUUCACACACAUAUAUAAUGGUUGGCAUGAGCUGUGAAAAGAAAUAUUAUAUUGAAGAUGUAGCUGAUACGCUGUUAAUAAAUUUGGAGUGUCCUACAUAUGCAUACAUACAAAGUUUACUGGUCGUCAAACCCGUUCCCAUUCAUGGAAUUUACUUCUCAACAAGAAAAUACAAACUUCUUUGGAAGAAGGCUAAGCAAACACCAAUUACCUUCAAUUGCACUCUGAAUCAUCUUUUUGAAUAAAACUAUAU
Metopolophium dirhodum (rose-grain aphid) is the source of this 1838-nucleotide long non-coding RNA. RefSeq lists it as uncharacterized. The record is from RefSeq and is a predicted model, not a curated record. The transcript has 10 exons. Lineage: Eukaryota; Metazoa; Arthropoda; Insecta; Hemiptera; Aphididae.